This 500-nucleotide ribosomal RNA is filed under the name uncultured Glomeromycotina. Its description in RNAcentral is "partial small subunit ribosomal RNA". It matches the Rfam family "Eukaryotic small subunit ribosomal RNA", at positions 591 to 1092 of the family's 1831-position model. The record is from RNAcentral. Lineage: Eukaryota; Fungi; Glomeromycota.
CCAAUAGCGUAUAUUAAAGUUGUUGCAGUUAAAAAGCUCGUAGUUGAAUUUCGGGGUUAGUAGGUUGGUCAUGCCUCUGGUAUGUACUGAUCUCACUGAUUCCUCCCUCUUGACGAACUGUAAUGUCAUUAAUUUGGUGUUGCAGGAAAUCAGGACUGUUACUUUGAAAAAAUUAGAGUGUUUAAAGCAGGCUUAGGCUUGAAUACAUUAGCAUGGAAUAAUGAAAUAGGACGUUUGAUCCUAUUUUGUUGGUUUCUAGGAUCGACGUAAUGAUUAAUAGGGAUAGUUGGGGGCAUUAGUAUUCAAUUGUCAGAGGUGAAAUUCUUGGAUUUAUUGAAGACUAACUACUGCGAAAGCAUUUGCCAAGGAUGUUUUCAUUAAUCAAGAACGAAAGUUAGGGGAUCGAAGACGAUCAGAUACCGUCGUAGUCUUAACCAUAAACUAUGCCGACUAGGGAUCGGAUGAUGUUAAUUUUUUAAUGACUCAUUCGGCGCCUUACG